This 253-nucleotide ribosomal RNA is filed under the name uncultured bacterium. RNAcentral describes it as "partial 16S ribosomal RNA". It matches the Rfam family "Bacterial small subunit ribosomal RNA", at positions 524 to 776 of the family's 1533-position model. The record is from RNAcentral.
UACGUAGGGUGCGAGCGUUGUCCGGAUUUAUUGGGCGUAAAGGGCUCGUAGGCGGUCUGUCGCGUCGGAUGUGAAAGCCCAGGGCUUAACCCUGGGCCUGCUUCCGAUACGGGCAGACUAGAGGUAUGCAGGGGAGAACGGAAUUCCUGGUGUAGCGGUGAAAUGCGCAGAUAUCAGGAGGAACACCGGUGGCGAAGGCGGUUCUCUGGGCAUUACCUGACGCUGAGGAGCGAAAGUGUGGGGAGCGAACAGG